RNAcentral lists this ribosomal RNA (427 nucleotides) under uncultured beta proteobacterium. RNAcentral's name for it is "bacterial SSU rRNA". It matches the Rfam family "Bacterial small subunit ribosomal RNA", at positions 355 to 774 of the family's 1533-position model. The record is from RNAcentral. Lineage: Bacteria; Pseudomonadati; Pseudomonadota; Betaproteobacteria.
UGGGGAAUUUUGGACAAUGGGCGAAAGCCUGAUCCAGCCAUGCCGCGUGAGUGAAGAAGGCCUUCGGGUUGUAAAGCUCUUUUAGACGGAAAGAAAGAGUUGCAAUGAAUAAUUGUGAUUUAUGACGGUACCGACAGAAAAAGCACCGGCUAACUACGUGCCAGCAGCCGCGGUAAUACGUAGGGUGCGAGCGUUAAUCGGAAUUACUGGGCGUAAAGGGUGCGCAGGCGGUCUUGCAAGUCAGAUGUGAAAGCCCCGGGCUUAACCUGGGAAUUGCGUUUGAAACUACAAGACUAGAGUGCAGCAGAGGGGAGUGGAAUUCCAUGUGUAGCAGUGAAAUGCGUAGAGAUGUGGAAGAACACCGAUGGCGAAGGCAGCUCCCUGGGUUGACACUGACGCUCAUGCACGAAAGCGUGGGGAGCAAACA